UGGGGAAUAUUGCACAAUGGGCGAAAGCCUGAUGCAGCAACGCCGCGUGAGUGAAGAAGGUUUUCGGAUUGUAAAGCUCUGUCAUCUGGGACGAUAAUGACGGUACCAGAUGAGGAAGCCACGGCUAACUACGUGCCAGCAGCCGCGGUAAUACGUAGGUGGCAAGCGUUGUCCGGAAUUACUGGGCGUAAAGGGUGCGCAGGCGGACAUUUAAGUGAGAUGUGAAAUACCCGGGCUUAACUCGGGCAGUGCAUUUCAAACUGGGUGUCUGGAGUGCAGGAGAGGAGAACGGAAUUCCUAGUGUAGCGGUGAAAUGCGUAGAGAUUAGGAAGAACACCAGUGGCGAAGGCGGUUCUCUGGACUGUAACUGACGCUGAGGCACGAAAGCGUGGGUAGCAAACAGGAUUAGAUACCCUGGUAGU
Molecule: ribosomal RNA, 422 nt
Filed under: uncultured bacterium
Lineage: Bacteria
Description: partial 16S ribosomal RNA
Rfam family: Bacterial small subunit ribosomal RNA
Source: RNAcentral